UGUUGUUUGGUUUGGGUAAGGUCUUGUAAACUAAAUUUAUGUGGUGAUAAGUGAGUCGUAAAGCUUUAUAACUGUUUGGUUGUUUAGAAUUUAGUGGGAUGUAGGUGGCUAUUAGGUCAUUUAUAUUUUUAUACAUUUGGUGAUGUGUGGUUUUUGAUAAGGUUAGAGGUACCUAGUUUUUGUUAUAUUGUUGUAAAUAUGGUUUUGUUGGUUUAUUGGUAUGUUAAUUGUUUGAACAACUGUUUUGCUAUAUUUGGUUAUUAUAUUAUCGUUGAAUAAGUAAUUUUAUUAUGCUAUUUAUUUCUUGAGUUCUUUCCGUCUGUUUAUUAAAAACAUUUCUAAUUUUAAUUGUAGUUAGUAGUGCCUGCCCAAUGUUGGUUAAUUAAUGGCCGCAGUAUAUUGACUGUGCAAAGGUAGCAUAAUUAAUUGCCUUUUAAUUGGAGGCUUGUUUGAAUGGUUUGACGUGAUUGGUAUGAAUAUUUGGUAUUUAGUUGAAAUUGAUUUUGAGGGUUUAGAAUCCUUAAUGUUUAAUAAGACGGAAAGACCCUAGGAUCUUUUGUUUUUGUUUGGGGCAAAUAUUGUUGUUUUAUGAAUAUUGUGACCCUGAGAUGAUAUUGGUUUAUUGGGUUAAG
This 632-nucleotide ribosomal RNA is filed under the name Echinococcus granulosus. RNAcentral describes it as "partial 12S ribosomal RNA". The stretch from base 315 to 467 matches the Rfam family "Archaeal large subunit ribosomal RNA", at positions 1887 to 2086 of the family's 2987-position model. Lineage: Eukaryota; Metazoa; Platyhelminthes; Cestoda; Cyclophyllidea; Taeniidae. The record is from RNAcentral.